Molecule: ribosomal RNA, 641 nt
Filed under: uncultured Alphaproteobacteria bacterium
Lineage: Bacteria; Pseudomonadati; Pseudomonadota; Alphaproteobacteria
Description: bacterial SSU rRNA
Rfam family: Bacterial small subunit ribosomal RNA
Source: RNAcentral
CGCACCGCAAGGUGAGUGGCAGACGGGUGAGUAACGCGUGGGAACCUUCCCUGUGGUACGGAAUAACUUCGGGAAACCGAAGCUAAUACCGUAUAUCCCCUCCGGGGGAAAGAUUUAUCGCCAUAGGAUGGGCCCGCGUUGGAUUAGCUAGUUGGUAGGGUAAUGGCCUACCAAGGCAACGAUCCAUAGCUGGUCUGAGAGGAUGAUCAGCCACACUGGGACUGAGACACGGCCCAGACUCCUACGGGAGGCAGCAGUGGGGAAUAUUGGACAAUGGGCGCAAGCCUGAUCCAGCCAUGCCGCGUGAGUGAAGAAGGCCUUAGGGUUGUAAAGCUCUUUUAGCGGGGACGAUAAUGACGGUACCCGCAGAAUAAGCCCCGGCUAACUUCGUGCCAGCAGCCGCGGUAAUACGAAGGGGGCUAGCGUUGUUCGGAAUCACUGGGCGUAAAGCGCACGCAGGCGGAUUGAUAAGUCAGGGGUGAAAUCCCGGGGCUCAACCUCGGAAUUGCCUUUGAUACUGUCUGUCUUGAGUUCGGGAGAGGUUGGCGGAAUUCCUAGUGUAGAGGUGAAAUUCGUAGAUAUUAGGAAGAACACCAGUGGCGAAGGCGGCCAACUGGCCCGAUACUGACGCUCAUGUGCGA